This 752-nucleotide ribosomal RNA is filed under the name Mesophoma ageratinae. RNAcentral describes it as "Didymellaceae sp. ALY-2022b partial large subunit ribosomal RNA". It matches the Rfam family "Eukaryotic large subunit ribosomal RNA", at positions 81 to 852 of the family's 3401-position model. The record is from RNAcentral. Lineage: Eukaryota; Fungi; Ascomycota; Dothideomycetes; Pleosporales; Didymellaceae.
UAGUAACGGCGAGUGAAGCGGCACAGCUCAAAUUUGAAAUCUGGCGUCUUCGGCGUCCGAGUUGUAAUUUGCAGAGGGCGCUUUGGCAUUGGCAGCGGUCCAAGUUCCUUGGAACAGGACGUCACAGAGGGUGAGAAUCCCGUACGUGGUCGCUAGCCUUUACCGUGUAAAGCCCCUUCGACGAGUCGAGUUGUUUGGGAAUGCAGCUCUAAAUGGGAGGUAAAUUUCUUCUAAAGCUAAAUACUGGCCAGAGACCGAUAGCGCACAAGUAGAGUGAUCGAAAGAUGAAAAGCACUUUGGAAAGAGAGUUAAAAAGCACGUGAAAUUGUUGAAAGGGAAGCGCUUGCAGCCAGACUUGCUUGUAGUUGCUCAUCCGGGUUUCUACCCGGUGCACUCUUCUAUAAGCAGGCCAGCAUCAGUUUGGGCGGUUGGAUAAAGGUCUCUGUCAUGUACCUCCUCUCGGGGAGAACUUAUAGGGGAGACGACAUGCAACCAGCCUGGACUGAGGUCCGCGCAUCUGCUAGGAUGCUGGCGUAAUGGCUGUAAGCGGCCCGUCUUGAAACACGGACCAAGGAGUCUAACAUCUAUGCGAGUGUUUGGGUGUCAAGCCCGAACGCGUAAUGAAAGUGAACGGAGGUGGGAACCUUUCGGGGUGCACCAUCGACCGAUCCUGAUGUCUUCGGAUGGAUUUGAGUAAGAGCAUAGCUGUUGGGACCCGAAAGAUGGUGAACUAUGCUUGAAUAGGGUGAAGC